RNAcentral lists this ribosomal RNA (360 nucleotides) under Orobitis apicalis. RNAcentral describes it as "partial 12S ribosomal RNA". Lineage: Eukaryota; Metazoa; Arthropoda; Insecta; Coleoptera; Curculionidae. The record is from RNAcentral.
AGUCUUUUUAGAGGAACCUGUCCUGUAAUUGAUAAUCCACGAGUUAAAUUACUUAUUUUUUUAGUUUGUAUAUCGCCGUAGGUAGAAUAUUUUUAAAGAAUUAGGAAUAUUCAAAAUUUUUAUAUGAAAGUAAAUCAGGUAAAGAUGUAGCUUAUAAAUAAGAAGAGAUGGGUUACAAUAAAUUUAUUUAUAUGGAUAAUUAUAUGUAAUUAUAAUUUGAAAGUGGAUUUGAAAGUAAUUUUAUUUAAAUUAAUAAUUUGAAUUAGCUCUAGAAUAUGUACAUAUCGCCCGUCGCUUUCACUCUAAAGUGGAAUAAGUCGUAACAUAGUAGGUGUACUGGAAAGUGUACCUGGAAAGAUA